CCAUUGCAGACAGAGCUAUGACAUGCCUUCCGAGCAGCCUCCUCUGGUGCUCCUGGUUGGCAGGGGUCUCUGUCCCGGCAGAGCUCUGUGCGGGUGCUCUGCGUCUUGCCUUGGGCUGAGAACUCAGGUUUGAAAGUUAGAUGGAGCUGGGUUCAAAUUCUGCCCCCACCUUCCAGUGGCUGUGUGACCAUGAGCACAUUGCUUAACAUCUCUGUUCCUUAGUUUACUCAUUUGCAGAACAGGCUUCUAUGAAGAAUAAAUUAGAUAUUGAGAAAAGUGCUAAUUAAUACUACUGCCAUUAAGAGUUCCCCAACACACAACACAUGCAUGCACGCGCGCGCACACACAUACACACACGCAUGCACGGCAGGAUAACAGUAAUUAAUAGCAAGGACUGGGUCUUAAAUCCUGGCGGGGGGACUUUGGGCAAGUCACUUGAUCUCUGUUUGCUGACUGAGGGAUACUCAUCAAAAUUUUCCUUGUUACUCUCCAGGGGACCCCCUCCUACCCACCAAAAAAGCAGCAGGUUUCCCUCUGGGGCCUGAGGCAUGUCCUGGCAACUGGGAGGCCAGGCUGCGCCCUGACCCCGUGGUCCUGGUCUGCUCUCAUGAAGCUCUGUGCUGCUGCCAGCUCCCAGGGGACUCCUCAGCCCAGAGCUCUCUCUGGCGAUGCCAAGCAGGCCCCACGCGGCCUAGACCCCAGGGACCCUGCUCCCCAGCCCCAGGUGACGGAGCCUGGUGUGCCCGGUCAGCUCAUUGUUGGUGCAGAGCCAGCAGAUUUGCAAAAAUCACUUUGUACUGACAUUAAGCACCUUCGAUUCUUAUUGAAUCCCAGAUCUGACUCACUGCCUCUCCCCUGGGCUGGCCCCGCUGUCAUUACCACCUGGACACCUGAAUUAUCAAACUGCAGGCACCGAGGCCUGGCAGGUAGUUUACUUCCCUUACAGGAGACCAGUUCAGCGGAAGGGCCUGUUCUCUAGCCACCGGGCAUUCAUCUCUUCCGUGGAGCUGGGAAGGUACCGGAAGGACCUGUGUGAAGAUCGGCCUGGGAAGACUUAAAAUGACUUUUUGGAGAGUCUGUGUCCUCCUCCUCCUUUGUGUCAGACGACGCUGCUGUGGCCCUUGGGUGCGUGUGUCGCAGUGAGGGCUGCGUCAGCGCCCGCUUGGGCAGAACGGUGUGCAGUUCACAGGGAGGGGACACGUCCCUAUCCUGCUCUGCCACCUAAGACUCCCGCUGUUUCCUACCUUCCCUCUGCCCCAGGUUCCUCAUCCAUGAAAUGGAGAUCAUGCCGGUCCCCACUCACAGCGGACCUCACAUCCACCUCCUUGUCCCUGCUGCUUCCUGACCUGGGACGCAGUUGGUGCACAGAUACUUGAGUGCUUGAGUGUGUGCUGCGUACCCUUCAUGCAGCCCGCACUUACUGAGCACCUACUACAUGCUGUUCAUUCCUAUGACACUUACAGAGCAGCUUCUCUGUGCUAACACCCACCUAACAGGCACAAGGUUGACAACGCACCUGAGCCUACGGCUGAGGCAAGAGCGGAGCUCCACCCUCACUCUGUUCAGUGGGCCUCCCUGUCGCCCCUGCCCCAGGAGAGGCCAGGUGUAUGCCCACUGGGGCUCUGGCACAAACACAUCACCCCCCCAACACCUGACACCUCUGAAAUGCUCUGAGUGUGUCAAUCAGCUCCAAUCAGCCUCCUCCAGGAAGCCUUCCAUAAGCCCUCACCCUGCAAGGACUCCUCUUGUGAUCUCAGCACACCCCUGGCCCCGUGGACACAGAUGCACAUCACUGCUUCUGUUCCUACGUGUGGUCUGCAUUACGGCCUAGACCGUGAGCUCUCUGAGGGCUGGCAAAGGUCCUCCGCCCCCUUGUCUCCCCCAAGAGUUGAGCACGGACUGACGCAAACAGUAGGUUCUUCCUAAAUGCUGCUGCCUCACCAACUACCGAUGCAGAGCGCAGGGAGGGACAGUCUUGUGCACAGGUCUGGACACGGGCCCUGUACCGGGCACCAGGUGUGAACUGAGGAGCCCAGCUGGGGCUCUUGGCCCCACACCCCAGACUGGCCGUUCGGGCAGGAUGCCAGCGGUCAGAGGAGCUCUGGCCCCCGUGUGAGGGACCGUACAGCCUAGACCCUGAGCCUCAGGCUCUGACAUCAGCCCAGGUUGGGGAUGAAGGCCCCGGCGGUGAAUAAUUCCUUCUCUGUCACUUGCCAGGGCCCAGCUGCCUCAAACGAGGUCUCAUUAGGACAGGGCAAGCUUCUUCACCUCUGCUUGUUAACUCCCCUGAGCACAGUGAGUGGAAAGUGGGAGGGGCGAGGGAGUGUGAGAGCCUUUUCAUUUCUGGAGCUCACUGCCCUGUGCAUGGAUAUUCCUGGAAACCUUCCCCGGGGGCUGCCCUGGCUGGAGCUUGCUCCGGGGGCCAGGAGGGGGCUACUGAUUUAGGCUGAUAGAGCAGGUCAAAGAAGGGACCGGCGCUCAGGGGCAGAUGGCCCUUUGGACCCGUCCUGAGAUGGCCCUGUCUUUCCCCUGGGUCUGCACAGGACGGCAGAGCUGCCCACCCCAGGUGCAUGUCCAAGUAGAGGCUCGGUGGGCGGCAUGGGGCAGUCCAGAGACCAGACCGGGAGCCACGUGGUGCUUGCAAUGCUCCCUACUGCCUCCCUGGGCGGCCUGGCAAGGCGUGUUCCACCCUGGGCCUCAGUCGCCCAUCUGUGAAAGAAAGCACUCCACAGGGUCAUCCUUCAGUUUGACACUGGAGGUUUGCAAGUGUGGUAAGCAUGGAAGGAUCCAGGACUCCCCUACUCACCCCCAACCCAGCUUCUCUCACUGGCUCCAGUUAGCAUUCCACCUCCGCUUGCAGAAAGGAUCUCAGACCUGAGGGGACUCGCAGAUACCUGCUGCGUCAGGGACUCCUAGAGGGCCCAGGGGAGCGGCCACGAAAUGGCACAUCACACCCAGGCAGCAGCUUCUCUGUCCCUGGGGCUCUGGGGCGGGCAGGAGGCUGCCGAGUGAGUGCUCUGUGGCCAGAGGGAAUGGGUCGGAAACCACAGGCCCGCCCAGCAGAGGGGACAUCAGGGAAUGUCCGUCUGAUCAUCACGGGGUUUUAAGAGCCGGAAGAGCCCUGACAGAUCACCUGAACCUCUGGUUUAUUACUGUGAAAACUGAGCCACAGCGAGGGCAGGUCCAAGUGGGGCAGUAACACCACCCAGGGCCUUGCCUGCAGGCCAGCUCCUCUGUGCAGGCUUCUGUGUGUCCCCAUUGACCCGGUCACAGGCAUUAUCUGGGGCCACUUGUUACAAAUUCAGAGGCCUGGGCCCCACCCCAGACUCAGACGCCAAGACAGGGGCCCGAGAAUCUGUGUUUGAACAGGUGCUGCCGGCAUGGGAGCUCGGUGCCUGCAUCUUCCGGUGUCGCCCUGCAAAUUCUCACUCAACAGCUCAAGAGAGGACCUGGGGGGCCAGUAUCUCUGGGAAGGGAAGUGUCUGGGUACCACAGCUAACAAAUGCCAACCGUAACCAGAUGUUCCUGCCUGGGGGGCGGGAGGCACCUCCCCGAGGGCCUCGGCCUACCCAGAGCGGGACGCGUUGGCCCUGGGCAGCUCCUGCUCCAUUUCCUUCUUCCAGGCGGGCGGAGUGCUCCCCGCUCCACAGGCGAGGAAACAGAAGGGAGUCAAAGGUGAACUGACUUGUCCAGAAUCACAUGGCUGACAGGUGGCACAGCAGGGACUGGAGCCCAGAACUGUCUGUCCCUAAAACCCACGCUGACCACAAGCCACACCGCAUCCUUUAUCACGCUGGGCUGACACCAGCAAAACUGCGUGGGGUGAGUUCCCCAGCAGCGGAGGUGUUCAAGCCGCAGCUGGGGCAGCUGGUGGCAGGCACGAGACGGUCUUUAUCAGCCCUCCCGGAGCCGGGGCUGGGGACAGGCUAAUCUGGCUACAGGAUACGUGGAUGUUUAGUUGUGUUUCUUCCACACACAGAGAAAAAUGUUCCGGAUUAUUUACAGGUUCUAGUGCACCAAAGUCCCCCUGGCUCGAUCCCUGGCCGCCCUAGAGCUGCCGGGCAGGAGGCAGCUAGGAACCCCAAACGGAGAGGGCGUUUGUUGGGGUGGGGGCCGCCCGGGUCAGGAUGGCGCCCAGAGAGAGCUUGUGGGGGCCACCCGGCGAGGGCUGUGUCACGCCAGCCCGUCCCACCCGACAGAGGGUGGGCCAGACAGACGUGGCGCCGAGGGAGCAUUCCACGGAGGUUAUGAGGCAGCAAUGCCCCCGCGGGCUCCGAAAGAGGCCCCAGAGGGGCCCGAGGGGAGCGGCGGAGGGUCCCAGACAGCUGCGAGGCAAGAUGUGCUGCUUCCCAAGCCGGAGCCGAAGCGGGGUGAGACGCACUUAACGGAAGAGACAGAUGUGAGGGGAAAGCUUCCAAAGGCUCAGAGACCACAGAUUCCCCACUCUCCAUUAACCAGUCAGCUCCCUGGGGGCUCCGGAAGGUUCUCUGGGGUCCAGCUGUCUAGUAGGUGGGGUGGACACCUGAGGGGACCACACCGAGGUCCCCGUCUCCUCCCUCCUCCUGCACUGGCCACAGCUCAGAAUUGUCUUGUGCACCUGAGGCCCCGGGGCCAGGGGCCGAGGGAGUACACGUGCGCCAUGCCGUGCAUAACUAUUUCUCAGAGAGCCUACACACAGCCUCGGAUUCCUUCUUAACACAGCCUACCAGGCACAGAAACAGCCAGAAGACGAGACUAAACCUUGUUGCCAUCCCUGGCAUGGAGCUAAGGGCACAGAAGGUGGGUGCCUGUGGCUUCCUGCCGCCCCUCGGCACACAGGAGUGCGGGCACUGUGCCGGGACGUGCUUCAGAGCCGGCCCUGAGUCUUCACGGAGCUCGUGGUCCAGCGGGGGAGAAGGCGCAGGGCGGGCGUGGAGGAGCAGAGACAAGGAAAGCUCACGGGGUGCACGGGCCUGAAGGAGGGGACGGUGCGUCCCACGGGGCUCUGUGCUCAGCACACUGGGGCUCUCAGGCCCUGCCGGUGGGAGGAGGCAGGCCCCUCGGAGGAAGCUGCUCCCUGGGCAGAGGACCCUGUGGUGGGGGACACACAGAGGGAGGUGAGCCCAGCACCUGAACCUCCCGUGACUUCCCGCCACACCGGCUGAGCAGAGCAAACAAGAGGCAGACGUGAGGUUCGGUCACCUGGGUUCUAGCCACGGUCACAGCACACGCUCUGCAAACUCCCACCUGCGAAGUGAGGAAACUGGAGCCCCUAAGGCUGGGCCCUGCAAUACGCCAGCCAGGAGCCGCGGUGGCGGCUGCACAGUGUGGACUGCGACCCGCUGAGUGCGUUACACACACACCAGACUCCGAAGACUUCGUACGAAAAAAAGAAUGUAACAUAUCUGCCCUAUACAGCCAAUAUCUUACCAUCCCAAUACAUAAUCAAUAAAAACCGAAAAGGAGCAGG
Non-coding RNA from Microcebus murinus (gray mouse lemur), 5449 nucleotides. The record is from RefSeq and is a predicted model, not a curated record. NCBI's taxonomy places the organism in Eukaryota, Metazoa, Chordata, Mammalia, Primates, Cheirogaleidae.